ACACGACUACAUUAGAUACCCGUGUAGUCCUAGCCGUAAACGAUACUCGCUAGGUGUCGGCCACGGUGCGACCGUUGUCGGUGCCGUAGGGAAGCCGUGAAGCGAGCCACCUGGGAAGUACGGCCGCAAGGCUGAAACUUAAGGGAAUUGGCGGGGAGCACCACAGCGGGUGGAGCCUGCGGUUUAAUUGGACUCAACGCCGGGAAGCUCACCGGAUAAGACAGCGGAAUGAUUGCCGGGCUGAAGACCCUGCAUGACCAGCUG
RNAcentral lists this ribosomal RNA (264 nucleotides) under uncultured archaeon. Its description in RNAcentral is "partial 16S ribosomal RNA". It matches the Rfam family "Archaeal small subunit ribosomal RNA", at positions 719 to 982 of the family's 1478-position model. The record is from RNAcentral.